CCUACGGGAGGCAGCAGUGGGGGAUAUUGCACAAUGGGGGGAACCCUGAUGCAGCGACGCCGCGUGGGUGAAGGAGCGUUUCGGCGCGUAAAGCCCUAUCGGCAGGGAAGAAGGAGGACGGGACCUGACGAAGAAGCCCCGGCUAACUACGUGCCAGCAGCCGCGGUAAGACGUAGGGGGCAAGCGUUAUCCGGAUUUACUGGGUGUAAAGGGGGCGCAGACGGGAGCGCAAGCCAGGAGUGAAAGCCCGGGGCCCACCCCCGGGACUGCUCUUGGAACGGCGCGGCUGGAGUGCAGGAGGGGCAGGCGGAAUUCCUGGUGUAGCGGUGAAAUGCGUAGAUAUCACGCAGAACCCCGAUUGCGAAGGCAGCCUGCCAAGCCAUGACUGACGCUGAUGCACGAAAGCGUGGGGAUCAAACAGGAUUAGAUACCCUUGUAGUC
RNAcentral lists this ribosomal RNA (441 nucleotides) under uncultured bacterium. Its description in RNAcentral is "partial 16S ribosomal RNA". It matches the Rfam family "Bacterial small subunit ribosomal RNA", at positions 338 to 795 of the family's 1533-position model. The record is from RNAcentral.